Molecule: long non-coding RNA, 1315 nt
Organism: Pomacea canaliculata
Lineage: Eukaryota; Metazoa; Mollusca; Gastropoda; Architaenioglossa; Ampullariidae
Exons: 2
Source: RefSeq, a predicted model, not a curated record
UUGAGACUUGAGAAGGCAAGGGAAAGGCAGGCAAAAACCAAGAAUGCCAUCAGAGCAUGAAAGCAAGUAUGGCCAGAAAACUGCGUAACAUCUCUCAAAGAAACUAAAGGCAAUCAUCACUCAACCUCAGGCUGCUGCUAAUUUGCUGAAAGAUCAAGGCACCAUCGUUUCUAUGGGCCAGCUUUGAGACCCAGGCCCAGUUGUGAAUCCCUUCACACAACAAGGAGCCAGUGAGGACAGCGGACGGCGGUGGAAUGCUUUCAAGUGAAUGAAGAAGAAGGCAUCCUCGAGGUCGUCAGCCCGCGUCAGACGCCUGCUGGAGCUCAACACGUCUGUAUGCCUGCAAUCAUCUGCCAAACCAGCUGCCAGACAUGACCAUGGCAUGAAGCAUGUUAGGUCUGAGUAAAUUACAAGUAGAGAAAGGACUGAGGACUUGCAGCCAGAUUUAGUGAUCUUCCACAACUUCAAAAUGCUAAUAUUGACUGCUCCAUCUCCAGUUGGCUUUUCAGCCUUCGUGUCCAUCAAUCAAGUACCACUUCUUCAUAAUCCGUGUGACCAAUGUGAAGUAACAGAUAUUAUUAUGUGGACUCUGGUAUAGAUUGAGAUGCUGCUGAAGUAACUUUGCCAUAAGUAACUUUCAUCUGUGUUUUUCUUGAACUGAUGCUAAAAUUCCGCUGCGCCUCUCCCCACAACUGACCUCCAGAGCCCACGACGUCCUGCAGGCGACAACUUUUCACACCACAAUGGAGUCUGAUAGUCCGGCAGGAUCCAAUCCUUUUCAUGGCUCCACAACUCCAGUGCGGUCUGCAGCACUAACUACUCGAACUCGUUUCGGUCGUGAGGUUAUAAAAUAUUCAAAAUGGAAGACUUUGUGUAUGGACUGUACGACCUUAUGCAUGAAUCUGUGUCACAACAACGACGGAAAACGUUCGAAACCGUGACUAAUCCUCGACUUAGCUCGAGUCGGUGAUUGUUUUAAUUUUCUUAUUUGUUUGUGUUGAUUUGUUUAUUGAACCUUUUAAACGGGCGAGGAUGUUACAAUAUCUUAGUUAUGUCCCUUGUUUUCCACUCUCUUGUGUGUGUCUCAGUUAUCUAAUAAAAACAUAACAGCUUGUCUCGGAGUGUGUAUUCUGUUCGUCGUCAGUCAGGACACUAAAAUAAACAGUAUAUCGUGAUUUAAAACAAUGUAAAUCAGGAUACAUCAAAACAAAGUGCCAAAUGUUACAUAAAACACACGUGAUUUUUUCCCUCAACUGAAGUUUAUUAAAGUAGAAAAUGCAUUAUCUUCAAAUGUCAGCACAAAUAAGGAUAAAAA